GAGAAUGUGAUUUGCAGAUUCAGUGAAUCAUCGAAUCUUUGAACGCAUCUUGCGCUCCUUGGUAUUCCUCGGAGCAUGCCUGUUUGAGUGUCGUGAAUUUCUCCAAAAAAUUGGUUUUUUGUUAUGAAAAACUUUUUUUGCGGGUCCUUGGGCUUGGUGAUGGCAUAGCCUCUUUGUAUCACCUUGCCUUAAAUGUAUGAGUGGAUGAGUGUCAGCCAUAGAUUUUUGUUAAGGCAAACCCAUAAAAAUCUUGUGCUUUUGUCAUCUGCUUCCAAACAAACACGCGUAAUAUACACACUUGUGUGCAUAUUCUUUUCUGGCCUCAAAUCAGGUAAGAUUACCCGCUGAACUUAAGCAUAUCAAUAAGCGGAGGAAAAGAAACUAACAAGGAUUCCCUUAGUAACGGCGAGUGAAGCGGGAAUAGCUCAAAUUUGAAAGCUGGCAGCAAUGUCCGCGUUGUAAUCUCGAGAAGUGUUUUCCGUGCUGGACCAUAGAUAUGUUCCUUGGAAUAGGAUGUCAAAGAGGGUGAGAAUCCCGUACAUGCUAUGGACGCCCAGUGCUUUGUGAUACACUUUCGAAGAGUCGAGUUGUUUGGGAAUGCAGCUCAAAAUGGGUGGUAAAUUCCAUCUAAAGCUAAAUAUUGGGGAGAGACCGAUAGCAAACAAGUACCGUGAGGGAAAGAUGAAAAGCACUUUGGAAAGAGAGUUAAACAGUACGUGAAAUUGUCAAAAGGGAAGCGCUUCAAGUCAGAUAUGGCUUUAAAUGUUCAGCCUUUCGGUGUAUUCAUUUUUUGUCAGGCCAGCAUCGAUUUUGAACGUCGGAUAAGGGUAGAAGGAAUGUAGCAUACUUUCGGGUAUGUGUUAUAGCCUUUUACUGGAUACGACGAUCGGGAUCGAGGUUCGCAGCACACCCUUUUUGGGCAGGUCUUCGGACACUUUUGUGCUUAGGAUGCGGCGAAAAAGGGCC
Molecule: ribosomal RNA, 966 nt
Filed under: Meira argovae
Lineage: Eukaryota; Fungi; Basidiomycota; Exobasidiomycetes; Exobasidiales; Brachybasidiaceae
Description: eukaryotic LSU rRNA
Rfam family: Eukaryotic large subunit ribosomal RNA (bases 318-966)
Source: RNAcentral